UACAGAGGGGGCAAGCGUUGUUCGGAACUACUGGGCGUAAAGGGCGCGUAGGCGGCCCGCUAAGUCGAACGUGAAAUCCCCGAGCUCAACUCGGGAACUGCGUCCGAUACUGGCGGGCUUGAAUCCGGGAGAGGGAUGCGGAAUUCCAGGUGUAGCGGUGAAAUGCGUAGAUAUCUGGAGGAACACCGGUGGCGAAGGCGGCAUCCUGGACCGGCAUUGACGCUGAGGCGCGAAAGCUAGGGGAGCAAACGGG
RNAcentral lists this ribosomal RNA (253 nucleotides) under uncultured bacterium. Its description in RNAcentral is "partial 16S ribosomal RNA". It matches the Rfam family "Bacterial small subunit ribosomal RNA", at positions 524 to 776 of the family's 1533-position model. The record is from RNAcentral.